Molecule: ribosomal RNA, 253 nt
Filed under: uncultured bacterium
Lineage: Bacteria
Description: partial 16S ribosomal RNA
Rfam family: Bacterial small subunit ribosomal RNA
Source: RNAcentral
GACAGAGGUUGCAAACGUUGUUCGGAAUUACUGGGCAUAAAGCGCACGUAGGCGGUCCGUUAAGUCAUGUGUGAAAUCCCCCGGCUCAACCGGGGAAUUGCGCCUGAUACUGGCGGGCUAGAGGUCGAUAGGGGUGAGCGGAACUCCAGGUGGAGCGGUGAAAUGCGUAGAUAUCUGGAGGAACACCGGUGGCGAAGGCGGCAUCCUGGACCGACACUGACACUGAGGAGCGAAAGCCAGGGGAGCAAACGGG